CGGGCAACGUUUAAACCUGCUUGUAAGAUUUAUUAUUGUUUUUUGUUUUUCAUUUUGAAACUCUUUUUUUUAUUUGCUCACGUGGGAAUUGACUUGUACAUAAUGACAGACCAAAGGACAUUUGGAAAACUUGUCUAGUAGCCGAACAUUUUGAUCAAAGCAAGUCUUUAGGUGUGGAGUACAAAGUGACUUCCUUAUUAAUUGGUGGAGAUCAAACUCUUCAGAUCCAUCAUGGAUCAACCACAAACACCUGGAGAUGACUGUUCUUUUCCAGGACACAGCUCAGUUCAUCAGAAGAGAUCAGAAGCAGAGCCCAGCUGUGUGUCUAUGAAGAGUGACAAGUCUAUGCAUGAACCAAUUAAGUUUAACAGUGGAGAUACACAGCCUGA
Sinocyclocheilus anshuiensis is the source of this 389-nucleotide long non-coding RNA. RefSeq lists it as uncharacterized. The transcript has 3 exons. NCBI's taxonomy places the organism in Eukaryota, Metazoa, Chordata, Actinopteri, Cypriniformes, Cyprinidae. The record is from RefSeq and is a predicted model, not a curated record.